GCAACAUCCUUCCAUGUGUUGACCAUAAAACCACAAACCAGACACUGAUCCAAAGCAAAAAGAUCGUUAACGACAUCGUGAGUGUCGUCGAUCAAUUUGUCUACAACUUCGCCAAUGCAAAUCCACCCCCGGGUUCUCCCAACUACUGCAACCAGUCAGGACCUUCCAUGCCAGCUCUCUGUUACCCAUACAACUCUCAGCUGGAAGAAAGUAGAUGUGGCGACAACGACGUGACUAUUGAAAAUGCAUCAACUGUAUGGCAGAAGUUUGUGUGUCAAGUAUCGGAAUCUGGGCUGUGCAUCACAGUCGGAAGGGUCUCGCCAAACAUCCACUCCCAGAUGGUGGCUGCAGUGAAUGAGAGUUAUGCACUUCAACAUUACACUCCCCCUUUGCUCAGCUUCCAGAAUUGCAAUUUUGUAAGGGAAACAUUUCACAACAUUACCACAGCUUACUGCCCUCAUCUGCAUCGGCAUCUUAAGAUUGUGAAUGUUGGACUUGCAAUGAUUUCAGUAGGAAUAUUGCUGUGUCUGUUGCUAUGGAUACUAUAUGCAAACCACCCCCAAAGGGAGGAUGUGUCUGCAAAGCUAUCGUUUUCGAUAAACCGGAGGAGGAAUGGUAACCAAAAUACGAAUAAUAAUAGCAGCGGAAACGACGAAUCCACGACAUCAAGCAUCAGAAGCAUCAGAAGUGGAGUUUAGAGAAGUAGAGAG
RNAcentral lists this unclassified non-coding RNA (710 nucleotides) under Hevea brasiliensis (rubber tree). The record is from RNAcentral. Lineage: Eukaryota; Viridiplantae; Streptophyta; Magnoliopsida; Malpighiales; Euphorbiaceae.